Hyla sarda is the source of this 965-nucleotide long non-coding RNA. RefSeq lists it as uncharacterized. The record is from RefSeq and is a predicted model, not a curated record. The transcript is spliced from 3 exons. Lineage: Eukaryota; Metazoa; Chordata; Amphibia; Anura; Hylidae.
GCAGCUAAGGUGUGUAUGAUGAGGUUUUGCAGCAGCUGGGGGUGUGAAGUAUUAUGUUCGGCAGCAGCUGAGCUGUAUAUUAUGAUGUUCUGCAGCAGCUGGGGUGUGUAUUAUGAGGUUCAGCAGCAGCUAAGGUGUGUAUGAUGAGGUUCUGCAGUAGCUGGGGUGUGUAUUAUGAGGUUUUGCAGCAGCUGGGGGUGUGAAGUAUUAUGUUCGGCAGCAGCUGAGCUGUAUAUUAUGAUGUUUUGCAGCAGCUGGGGUGUGUAUUAUGAGGUUCAGCAGCAGCUAAGGUGUGUAUGAUGAGGUUCUGCAGUAGCUGGGGUGUGUAUGAGGUUUUGCAGCAGCUGUCGUGUGAUGUAUUAUGUUCUGCAGCAGCUGAGGUCUGUAUUAUGGGGCUCUGCAGCAGCUGAAGUGUGUAUUGAGGUUCUGCAGCAACAGAGGUGUGCCUUAUGAUGUUCUGCAGCAGCUAAGGUGUGUAUGAUGAGGUUUUGCAGUAGCUGAGGUGUGUGUUGUGAGGUUUUGUAGCAGCUGGGGGUGUGAAGUAUUAUGUUAUGCAGCAGCUGAGCUGUAUAUUAUGAUGUCCUGCAGCAGCUGAGUUGAGUAUCAUGAUAUUCUGCAGCAGCUAAGGAGUGUAUUAUGAUGAUUUGCAGCAACUAAGGUGUGCUAUGAUGUUCUGCAGCAGCUGUGGUGUGUAUUAUGAGGUUCAACAGCAGCUAAGGUGUGUAUGAUGAGGUUCUGCAGUAGCUGGGGUGUGUAUUAUGAGGUUUUGCAGCAGCUGUGGUGUGAUGUAUUAUGUUCUGCAACAGCUGAGGUGUGUAUUAUGAUGUUCUGCACCUGCUGAGGUCUGUAUUAUGGGGCUCUGCAGCAGCUGAGGUCUGUAUUAUGGAGCUCUGCAGCAGCUAAGGUCUGUAUUAUGGGGCUCUGCAGCAGCUAAGGUCUGUAUUAUGGGGCUCUGCAGCAGCUGA